This 490-nucleotide ribosomal RNA is filed under the name uncultured bacterium. RNAcentral's name for it is "partial 16S ribosomal RNA". It matches the Rfam family "Bacterial small subunit ribosomal RNA", at positions 30 to 507 of the family's 1533-position model. The record is from RNAcentral.
AUUGAACGCUGGCGGCAGGCCUAACACAUGCAAGUCGAACGGUAACAGGAAACAGCUUGCUGUUUCGCUGACGAGUGGCGGACGGGUGAGUAAUGUCUGGGAAACUGCCUGAUGGAGGGGGAUAACUACUGGAAACGGUAGCUAAUACCGCAUAACGUCGCAAGGCCAAAGAGGGGGACCUUCGGGCCUCUUGCCAUCGGAUGUGCCCAGAUGGGAUUAGCUAGUAGGUGGGGUAACGGCUCACCUAGGCGACGAUCCCUAGCUGGUCUGAGAGGAUGACCAGCCACACUGGAACUGAGACACGGUCCAGACUCCUACGGGAGGCAGCAGUGGGGAAUAUUGCACAAUGGGCGCAAGCCUGAUGCAGCCAUGCCGCGUGUAUGAAGAAGGCCUUCGUGUUGUAAAGUACUUUCAGCGGGGAGGAAGGGAGUAAAGUUAAUACCUUUACUCAUUGACGUUACCCGCAGAAGAAGCACCGGCUAACUCCGUG